Balaenoptera ricei (Rice's whale) is the source of this 1952-nucleotide long non-coding RNA. RefSeq lists it as uncharacterized. The transcript has 6 exons. NCBI's taxonomy places the organism in Eukaryota, Metazoa, Chordata, Mammalia, Artiodactyla, Balaenopteridae. The record is from RefSeq and is a predicted model, not a curated record.
UUAGUAUAUCUGAGAUGAGACCUAGGAAACCACUUUUAACAGGUGCCCGCAGGUGAUGAAUCUCAGGAUUUACUCUGUAUAGAUUUCAAGGUAGAUGUAUGUACUACAGCUUCUCGGCCCUUCGCUCAGGGACUGAAGGGAGUUCUGUUUGGGGUGGUGGUGAGGGUGUGGGGAGUUGAUAGAAAAGAAGAGAAAAAACCGGCUACUUAAAUUGUAUCCUUGGCAUCUUACUUGGUUCUCAGAGCUGUAUGUUUUCAGCUGUAUGCAUCUUUGGAGUUUAAGAGGAGGAACCAAGUUGUCUCUUUCAUUUGGAAGAGAGAAAUAUUACAGUCUUCAUCAUCCCAAGAUUAAUCUUGCAGUGCUGCUUUUAAAAUCAUGUGGCCCUGGAUCAACUACUAGCUGAUCUAAAGUAUCCAUAGCCACUGCAAUGUGCAGAACCACUGCGGCAGCUCUUGAAAGCUUUCACGUGUUGUCCCGUGACACGCAGGAGGGAUGCUCUCCAAAUGCCUGCCUGACCACGCGUUGUACGCGGCGCUUCAUCUCAGCACGUGGCACUGUCAGCCCCAGAGUUGGAACUCCACAGACCACCUGAUGUUUCACUUCGAUGACUAAUCCAUACCUCAACAUGUCCACCUCUCCGUUCUAAGCUCUCACUCCACGCUUGCUCCACCAGAAGUGUCUGCUCUCUCAGUGGUGACAACUCCGUCCUUGCAGUUGCUCAAGCCUCAGAUACCUGCUUCAAAACAAAACAAAUGGAAAAUCAUGUGAUCAUCUCCAGAAUACGACACAAAUGAACUUGUCUAUGAAACAGAAACAGACUCAGAGACAGAGAGAACAGACUGGUGGUUGCCAAGGCGGAGGUGGGGAGGGUGAGUGACGGAUGAAUGAGGAGUCUGGGAUUAGCAGAUGCAAACUAUUAUAUAUGGAAUGGAUGAACAACAAGGUCCUACUGUACAGCACAGGUUUCCACUCCCCAUGGAGAAGCUCUCUCCUUCUAACAGUGGAUCUCGCUGUUGUCACAGAGCAAGUUGUAGCAGGUUUUCCUCGGCUCUGUGAGGUUGGUCAUUAUGUCAUUGUCCCCUCGUUACACCUGUGUUCUUUCUCUGGGUCCCUAAAUGUUACUUCCCUUCUUCACUCACUCAUAGGAAAAUACUGUAAACAAACAUUAGCCUCACAAUAAGAGGAUUGUUUUUCUUCCUAGACAAAUUGAAAUGUUUUAGACAGUAGAAAUAAAGGAAUUUUAAUGAAUACAGAGUGAAUACUUUCAACUUCUUUUUCUCCUUUCCCAGAAUGAAUAAGUAACAAUUGUAGGUCAGCAUUUUAGGAUAAUCUAGCCAGGGCGUAUAAGCUUUUUAAGCAUGAAAUUAUUUUAAGCACUUCAUUUAUGGCGUAAAUUGUGACUUUUAUAUUGGGAUGGGGCAUAUGAGGGUAGGAGGUAAUGGAGGGAGAAGAAGGACAUGUUCUUGAAUUGUAUUUGAAAGAAGUGAUUUCCUCUAGCUGUCUUCUCUCAGCCCUUGCAAGGUCAAGUCUCUACUUGGGCAAAAAGAAGAUGGAAGGACAACACGGAAACCUUGUCCGGUGGAGCUGUUUUAAUGAAGAGCUUGUUUCUGCCCCAAGCAGAAAUACCUUGGAAUGUGAGAGUUUCAGGAAAACGGAGUAGAAUGACCUAAGAUCUCCAAGGUCAAGGUCUAGUGACUUCAGAAACUGUGACUUCUCAGAAAGCCCAGAGAGGUCAUCUCCUCACUAACCUACUGAUGAAGGCAAAGAGAAUGUACGCAGGAAGAAAGGAAUAUUUUCCGAAUCCUGACACUCAGGAAUUUCCCAGAUGUCACUACUGAGGUUGGAAAAAUACUCUACUGGCAUGCUCAUGGAACCACUGCCCUGAUGUUUUUCAGAAAGUGAAGCUUAUCAUUUCCAAUGCAUUGUAAGUUGUUUCUCAGUGAGCAUUCAUU